RNAcentral lists this ribosomal RNA (397 nucleotides) under Chlorarachniophyceae sp. Its description in RNAcentral is "partial small subunit ribosomal RNA". It matches the Rfam family "Eukaryotic small subunit ribosomal RNA", at positions 582 to 975 of the family's 1831-position model. The record is from RNAcentral. Lineage: Eukaryota; Cercozoa; Chlorarachniophyceae.
AUUCCAGCUCCAAUAGCGUAUAUUAAAGUUGUUGCAGUUAAAAAGCUCGUAGUUGGAUUUCAGUCUUAGUUCGUCUGGCCCGCUCCCUUGAGGAGCCGAGUGCCGGUUGCGAGCUGGACUUCCUUCUAGCAUGGAACCUCUACCGUUAUGCGGCCGGGGGGGACAUCUGGAUCAUUUACUUUGAAGAAAUUAGAGUGUUCAAAGCAAGCUUACGCUGUGAAUAUAUUAGCAUGGAAUAAUAACAUAGGACUCGGGUUCUAUUUUGUUGGUUUCUAGGACUCAAGUAAUGAUUGAUAGGGACAGUUGGGGGUGCUGCUAUUAUAUGGCCAGAGGUGAAAUUCACGGAUUCAUAUAAGAGCAACUUAUGCGAAAGCAUUCACCAAGGAUGUCUUCAUUA